Molecule: long non-coding RNA, 790 nt
Filed under: Dermacentor andersoni
Lineage: Eukaryota; Metazoa; Arthropoda; Arachnida; Ixodida; Ixodidae
Description: uncharacterized LOC126525764
Source: RNAcentral
AUAAAAGUUGCAUGAAUGAACUAUCGCGGCGCCUCAGCGCAGGCUGCUGCCCCCAAAAAUACUUGCAAAUAAAAAUGAAAAGCCCUUCCGAUCAAUUUAACCUGUCCUUGCUGCUAAGAACAAAAUAUCCGAAAAAAGCUUGCCGCUUUCUACCAUUGUCUUGAGUAGAUAUAAAUGUCGUGCUAGCUUACCUGCAUUUGCCGGGCACCCCAGCAAUUUCAAGAUGUCAACCAUGUCUAUCCUGGAAUUUCUGCUAGCGUUGAUGAUAUGUGCUUCAAUUCUACCUGCGAAAGCAGAAGAAAGGGCAGCAGUCGCAUCAACAGCAGCUGCUCCUGGAGUUUCUUGGUGGUCCGGGAAUCGUUUCGCAAGGAAGUGGUGCCGCAAGAACGAGGAAUACAAGGAGUGCCAGAGCAGCAGUUGCGGCGAGUGGAAAUGCUCGUUCUUGUAUAGAGGCUGGCCCGAUGGAUGCACAAUGGACUGCGAAACGGGAUGUUUCUGUAAGCAUGGUUACUUCAGAAACAGCAACAACAAAUGUGUAAAAGGGUGGAAAUGCUUCAGAGAAUUCAACUUGUACCGACCUUCUCUCUCCGAGUAGUGCUGAAGACACCAUGCAAGGACUUUUCAUCCGAAGCCAUUCACUUGAGGGAACAGAAAGCAAGCGAUAAAUUCUGAUGAUUCAAAUAUGGGGCAAGAAAUGCAAACGAAAAUAGGCAAUAUUGUAUUCUUCACUACAGAAAAAUGCAUAUUAAAGAGAACUGCACAUUUGUUGAAUAAAGAUAACUUGAACUUA